This 497-nucleotide ribosomal RNA is filed under the name uncultured bacterium. RNAcentral's name for it is "partial 16S ribosomal RNA". It matches the Rfam family "Bacterial small subunit ribosomal RNA", at positions 28 to 507 of the family's 1533-position model. The record is from RNAcentral.
GACGAACGCUGGCGGCGCGCCUAAUACAUGCAAGUUGAGCGCUGAAGGUUGGUACUUGUACCAACUGGAUGAGCAGCGCACGGGUGAGUAACGCGUGGGGAAUCUGCCUUUGAGCGGGGGACAACAUUUGGAAACGAAUGCUAAUACCGCAUAAAAACUUUAAACACAAGUUUUAAGUUUGAAAGAUGCAAUUGCAUCACUCAAAGAUGAUCCCGCGUUGUAUUAGCUAGUUGGUGAGGUAAAGGCUCACCAAGGCGAUGAUACAUAGCCGACCUGAGAGGGUGAUCGGCCACAUUGGGACUGAGACACGGCCCAAACUCCUACGGGAGGCAGCAGUAGGGAAUCUUCGGCAAUGGACGAAAGUCUGACCGAGCAACGCCGCGUGAGUGAAGAAGGGUUUCGGAUCGUAAAACUCUGUUGGUAGAGAAGAACGUUGGUGAGAGUGGAAAGCUCAUCAAGUGACGGUAACUACCCAGAAAGGGACGGCUAACUACGUG